AGACACAGCUGUUUCAUUGUUGCUAGCUACAGCACCUAGGAAAGUCACCUCUCUGAUCUGGACCUCAGUUCUUUCCAAUUACGUUUGAAUGACAGAGUUUGGAACAGCUGGAUUCUGAAGUGCCCGACCUUGGUACGUUGAGCUAACUGGUCAACCCAACAUAGGGGAGGGGAGGGCUGUCUACCGCUGGAGGCAGAAGACGCAGAUCGUGUUAUUACACAGGACUGUCUGGGCCUCAGUGUACAACCUGCAGAAUGCCCCUGAGGCGUCAGGACGGCUCGUUCUCUCAAGGAAAAUUUCCUGGGAGCUGAUACUCACCGGGCACACUGAGGACACAGGUGAAUCUCUCCAUCUGGGUCUCUCCCAUCAGAGAGUCCCCCGUCUGGUCACGAGAAGAAAGGGGCACACAAAGCAAACAAUCAUGGUAUGUUUUAUUCUUUCCCGGAUCCGGCGAAUAUAAAAUGAACGCCUACUAUGUGCAGGUGCCAUUCUCUGUGCUAGGAUAAUUCAAGUGAACAAGGAAGAUGUCUGAUGUCUCAAGGCCACCUCACUGACUUUCCUCUGCCUUCUCCCAAAGGUAACGGUCAUGGCUGGUGGAGUGCUUGCCAUGGACAGGACGCUUCGCUGCAGUUCCACAUUUGUUAGCACCGGUCGCCCCAGCGGUAGUGAUCAUCACGAGCGAUUACAACCCUCCCUAUUUCUCAUCUGAGGACACUGAGGUCAGAGGGGCCCGAAACCAUCCUGACAGUAGGAGACACUGGCCCCCGGUCUGCUAGUCUCCA
This 782-nucleotide long non-coding RNA is filed under the name Felis catus (domestic cat). RNAcentral's name for it is "lncRNA (ENSFCAG00000041425.2)". Lineage: Eukaryota; Metazoa; Chordata; Mammalia; Carnivora; Felidae. The record is from RNAcentral.